GGGAGAAGCAUUGCCAUCAUCAGGCCAGGUCUCUGAAACACUGCUGGGGCUCUGCUGAGUCCAGUGGUUCCGAGCAUCCCAAAGCUUUUGUCUUUUCUGAAAUGACGACAUGCACCUUGAUUGUGAGUUAGCUAGACUUCCAGCCAUUUCUCUCCAACAUUUAGGUUUUGCCUCCUCUUAUUUAAAAAUAUCUCAUGUCCUUGGGCUGAACCUCCUGAAGGAGGAAGCAGAAGCGUCUCUGCUUCUCCUGACACUUCUUAUGGAUUAUGUAUCAAGGAAACACCCCUGGGGACUGAUUGGCCCUCACGUCCUGCCACAAGAUUGAUUUUGAUGCAUCAAAUCUAAGAAAGAAGACAUCCUUGGCAACCUGAUUUCCAAGCUCCAUCUCCUCUUCCUGACUGGUGAUGCUUAGCAGUCCUGUCCUCUAGCUGAGUGGGUCUGGAAGGUGUGUCUCCCCCAACACACACCUCCUGGCGCGCUUCCCUGGGGCUGUGCUCCUGGCCAAACGGAGUGGUUUUCAGAGGCAGGAGAGAAGAGUGUGGUGUGAAUGGCUGAGAAUACCAGCUUUGGCUCAGGGCAGUGAGGUUGAGAUGUUUCCCAAAAUGCUUCACACAUUUUCUGCGAUGACAUAUUUUACAACU
Molecule: long non-coding RNA, 641 nt
Filed under: Sus scrofa (pig)
Lineage: Eukaryota; Metazoa; Chordata; Mammalia; Artiodactyla; Suidae
Description: lncRNA (ENSSSCG00000046318.2)
Source: RNAcentral